AAUUGGAGGCCAGUGAAAGGCAACACGAGGAACACCUAUACUUUAUAUGUCAAAAAAACUUUUCUUCUAAGUGAAAAGCCUUAGAUACUAAAAGAAGACGAAAAGACCCCGCGGAACUUUACCUUUUCCCUACACUUGUUAUACCUUACACAAACAUAUGUAUCAAGGUUUGAUUGGGGCAAUCUCGGAACCACCCAAACUUCCGAUUUUAUAUUUUAACUGAUCAAAAAUUUGUUUCAGACCAAAAAGGAGUUACCCCGGGGAUAACAGCGUUAUCCAACUUAAGAGUACACAUCGAAAGUUGGGUUUGCGACCUCGAUGUUGGCUUAAGGACAUCCACAUAAGUGCAGCCGCUAUGAAUGGAUAGUCUGUUCGACUAUUAUAACCUUA
RNAcentral lists this ribosomal RNA (390 nucleotides) under Trapezoideus lenya. RNAcentral describes it as "partial large subunit ribosomal RNA". The stretch from base 66 to 390 matches the Rfam family "Bacterial large subunit ribosomal RNA", at positions 2048 to 2598 of the family's 2925-position model. Lineage: Eukaryota; Metazoa; Mollusca; Bivalvia; Unionida; Unionidae. The record is from RNAcentral.